CCAUACUUCGAAAAGAUUGCCUCCACAUCAGAUUUCUUGACCACGAGAGUGUUGAGAUUCCUAAUGAACACACAGGAGUUCAUGGAGCGAGGAUCUGUCUUGUUGGUAAUGUUGCUGGCCAUUGUGUUUGAUGAUAAGGUUUCUCACAAAGCCAAAAACAGAAGGGAGAAGAGAUUCGAUUCUGAGUCUCCUACUCCCGAUUGUACAUGGAGAAGCCGACCGCUGCUCGAGGUCGGCAACGCGGACACAACCGCUCAGUCUUCGUCUCUUCACAAAAUGCUUUUUUUUUUUUUUUUUUUUUUAUGAUGGGGUUUUACCAUGUUGGCCAGGCUGGUCUUGAACUCCUGACCUCAGGUGAUCCACCCACCUCGGCCUCCCAAAGUGCUAGGAUUACAGGCGUGAGCCACCGCGCCUGGCCGAAAGUAUAUUCUUUAUAGUUCGGAAUUAUACUUUCUAAAUUUGGAAUGUACAUGGAGAGAGCAUUUAAGUUUAGCCUUUUUGUGCUGUUUAGUAGUUUUUCUACUUUUAACUCUAUUUAAAAAUUUUAAACUGUGAGAAUUUGCUUUUCCAUUUGCUACUUUAUCUCUUCCACAUCUGUUGUUCAGUUGUGGAGUACUAAUCUCAGAAGAAACAUAAGUAAUUCAGAUUAAAUUAGCAGGGCAUGGUGAUGCACACCUGUAAUCCCAGCUUCUCGGGAGGCUGAGGCAGAAGAAUCACUUGAAUCUGGGAGAUGGAGGUUGCAGUGAACCAAGAUUGUGCCACUGCACUCUAUCAGGCUGGGUGACAGAGUGAGACUGUCUCAAAAAAAGAAAAGAAGAAAGAAAUUUGCUAUAUUAAGAAUCUAGUUGAAACUAAAAUUUCAUAUUUACAAUUUAUGGGCCACUUGAAGAGAAAGUGGUUUGUAUGUACAGUCCAACUCUGGACAUUGUGGGCUCUUUUUUUAUUGUCUCUAUAUUUUUAAUAUGAGUAUGUAUUUUUUAGUAAUUUUUAGGAAUGUGACUUGUUACUGAGCACUAAUGCUUAUUUUGACAUCAUUUUUGGCAUUUUUCAUUUUUGCCACUUUAAAUGUAUCAGAGUUUAAAUUCCUUUCUUAGCUCAUCGUUAAAGUGUUCUGCUUCUUAGGAAGAAAUGAAACUAGGACACUACUGUCUUUUUCUAGAUACACACUAAUGGAUGUGGAAGCUAAGUGCUGUACUCUUGAGAUCUGGGUGGCACUGUCCAUGUGUGUAGGAGAUAGGGUGGGUUCAAGAGAAGUGUGGGCUUUUAUGUAACUGGUCUCCAAAAGUCCCAAAAUGUUUUUAUAUGUUGCCUGCUGACUGCUCUGACUGUCACAUAGAUCUGGAGAGGAGAAAUUUCUUCAAACUCUAGUUUUGUCUAAAAGGAGCUUUGUUUGUCCCAGGAGAAUUUAGGUAUCAUUCUGCUUACCAACAUGUAAUGUGCAUGUGUAUCUCUUUUAAAAUAAUUAUUUUACAUUAGUUUUACUUUCCUUUUGCAGACUAAAUAGGAAUAAACGUUAUUAUUUUUUGAGAUGAAGUUUUGCUCUUGUUGCCCAGGCUGGAGUGCAGUGGGGCGAUUGCAUCUCACUGUAAUCUCUGCCUCCCAGGUUCAAGAUCACACCACUGCACUCCGGCUUGGGUGACAGAUUGAGACCUUGUCCAAAAAAUAUAAAAGGCAUACUCUGUUCCUAGAUGUUUCAUAAGUUUAUUGGUGUUUUAUGGUUUGAGAUGCUAGCUUUCUGGCGGUGUUGAAGCCACAACAAAACAAACUGUAUGCAUAUACAAAUGUUUCAAUUUUUACUUAGAAGCAAAUUUGAGUCAUUAGAAAAGUAUGUAAUACCUUAAAUAUUCAUUAUAUAAAUCAUCUUGUUAGGAAUAAGUACCUUAAAUAAGUAUAUUUUGAAUAUAAAACUGAAAGUAUGAUUUUCCCACCAUUAUAUUAUAGUAAUUGGCAUUAAGUGUUGCAUAUUUAAAUUAUUAAUUGCAAAUGACGUCAUACAUUAAUCUAACUUUGUUGAUUAUCAGGCAAAAACAUGGUGAAUAAAGAAGUGCCCCUCUUUUUGUAUUACAGAGGAAGUUAGCAUAUUUGUGAAUGUCCAUGAUAUUAAACUGGUAGAAAAGAUUAGAGGGAGGGAGCGAGUGAGUGACAGUCAAUUACCAGUUUCUGCUUCAACUAAUUUUUAAUUUUUAUCAUACUUAUGAACCCCCGCAAACUAAAGAUUUAUCUAAAUUGUCUUUUUUCUUUGUUGGCUUUAUUGAGGUGAAAUUCAAAUAAUACAAACUAGCGAUUAUAGAGUGUGUAUUUCAUUGGCAUUUAACACAUUCACAGUGUUGCACAACUACCACCUGUAUCAGGUUUCAGGACAUUUUUAUAAUUCCAAAAGGAAACCCCUAGGAGAGCACUCACUCUCCUUUACCUUCUCUUAUCCCCAAUAAACCACAAUUCUGCUUUCUGUCUCUAUGGAUUUACCUAUUUUGGAUAUUUUAUAUAAAUGAAGUGGUAUAGUAUUGUGAUUUCUCAUGUUCGGCUUGGUACUUUUAAGGUUCAUUCACAUCAUAGCAUAUGUCACUACUUCAUUGCUUUUUAUGACUAAUAAUAUUUCAUGUAUAUAACACAUUUUUAAAUCCAUUCAUCUGUUGAUGAACAUUUCAAAAGACUGUCCCACCUUUUGGCUUUUGUGAAUAGUGCUGCCAUCAGUAUUUGUUUACAAGUAUCUCUGUUUGAAUACCUGUUUUUAAUUCUUUUGUUUUGUUUUGUUUUGUUUUGUAUUUUUGAAAUGGAGUCUUCCUCUGUUACCCAGUCUGGAGUGCAGUGGUGUGAUCUUGGCUCACUGCAACCUCCGCCAAACAAUUUUUCUUCCUGAGCCUCCCGAGUAGCUGGGAUUAUAGGUGCCUGCCACCACACCCUGCUAAUUUUUGUAUUUUUAGUACAGACAGGGUUUCAUCAUGGUGGUCAGACUGGUCUUGAACUCCUGACCUUGUGAUCCUCCUGCCUCGGCCUCCCAAAGUACUGGGGUUACAGGUGUGAGCCACUGCGCCUGGCCUGUUUUAAAUUCUUUUAGGUAUAUACCUAAGAGUGGAAUUGCUGGGUCAGUGGCAAUUCUAUGUUCAAGUUCUUUAGGAACUGACAAAUGUUUUCCACAGUGACUUCACCAUUUUAUAGUUCCACCAGCAAUAUACGAGGAUUCGUCUGUCUCUUAGCUGUCACUUGCCAUUUUCCCUUUUUAAAAAAUAGCCAUCCUAGUAGGUAUGAAGUGCUAUCUCAUUGUGGUUUGAUUUGUAUUUCCAUGAUUGCCAAAGAGGAUGAUCAUUUUUCAUGUGCUUAUUGGUCAUUGUAUUUCUUCCUUGGAGAAAUAUCUACUUAAGUCCUAUGCCCAUUUUAAAAUUGGGUUGUCUUUUUUGUUGUUGAGUUGUAAGAGUUCUGUAUAUAUUUCUGGCCAUUAAUCCCUUACCAGAUAUGUGAUUUGCAAGUAUUUCCUCCCAUUCUGUAGGUUGUCUUAACUUACUUACUUACUUACUUUCUUUCUUUCUUUCUUUCUUUCUUUCUUUCUCUUUCUUUCUUUCUUUCUCUCUCUCUUUCUUUCUUUCCUUCCUUCCUUCUUUCUUUUUCUUUCUUUCGUUCUUUUUUUUUUUUUUUUUUUGAGAUGGAGUCUUACUCUAUUGCCCAGGCUGGAGUGUAGUAGCACGAUCUCGGCUCACUGUAACUUCCAUCUUCCGGGUUCAAGCAAUUCUCCUGUCCCAGCCUUUUGAGUAGCUGGGGCUACAGGUGCAUGCUACUGCACCUGGCUAAUUUUGGUAUUUUUAGUAGAAAUGGGGUUUUGCCAUAUUGGUCAGGCUGAUCUUGACAUUCUGACCUCAGGUGAUCCACCCACCUCUGCCUCCCAAAGUGCUGAGAUUGCAGGCACCUACCAACACGCCUUCUAAUUUUUUGUAUUUUUAGUAGAGAUGGGGUUUUGCCAUGUUGGCCAGACUGGUCUAGAACUCCUGACCUCAAGUAAUCCACCCACUUCGGCUUUCCGAAGUGCUAGGAUUACAGCGGUGAGCCACUGCACUUGGCCCAUAGUAUUCUCUUAUCUUUUUCUGUAAGGUAAUUAGUAAUGUCUUUACGAAAUUGGCUUUUAAAUAGAGCUUUUAAUUUUUUUGUUGUUGUUAGGUUAUUUCUUGAUUUGAUAUGUUUUUGACACAGUCAGCUUUGUUUCACUUGCUUCCGAAGGUGGGGGAAUUGAAAACAAAUCAGAAAUACAACAUCUAAAGGUUGCUUUGUACUGGAUUCUCUGUAUAUCAAUUCAGAGAAAGGUUCAUCAGACCCCCAGACCAUCUUUCUGCUCUAUCAGUUAUAGAAACAUUUGAGAGAGGGCCAGGUGCGGUGGCUCACACCUGUAAUCCCAGCACUUUGGGAGGCCGAGGCGGGUGGAUCCUGAGGUCAAGAGAUCGAGACCAUCCUGGUCAACAUGGUGAAACCCCGUCUCUACUAAAAACACAAAAAAUCAGCUGGGCAUGGUGGUGCGUGCCUGUAAUCCCAGCUACUCAGGAGGCUGAGGCAGGAGAAUUGCCUGAACCCAGGAGGCGGAGGUUGCGGUGAGCCGAGAUCGUGCCAUUGCACUUCAGCCUGGGUAACAAGAGCGAAACUCCAUCUCCAAAAAAAAGGAAACAUUCGAGAGAAAGAUUAUUAUCAAAAAAAGGUAUUUCAUGUAUAAUUUUGUGUAGUCUGUACCUUUCUGAAUCUUGUGGUAUAAGACACUUGAUGUAAUUUAUAUUAUCGAAUCGUCCACUUGCUUGCUAUUAGUUGUAUUUCUUUAAAUUAGGUUUUUUUGCCAGUAGUUUCAGCUACUUGCAAGGCUGAGGUGGAAGGUUUGUUUGAGUCUAGGAGUUCUAGUUCAGUCUGGGCAACAUAGCAAGACCCUGUCUCUAAAAAAAAAUAAUAAAAAAUGUUUAGACUGGGCAUGGAGGCUCAUACCUAUAAUCCCAGCACUUUGGGAGGCCACAGUUGGAGGAUCUCUUGAGGCCAGGAGUACAAGACCAACCUGGGAUACAGAAAAUUAAAAACAAAUUAUCUGGGCAUGACAAUGCAAGCCUAUAGUCCUUGCUAGUUGGGAGGCUGAGCUGGGAGGAUCACUUGAGCCCAGAAGGUUGAGGCUGCAGUGAGAUAUAAUUGCAUUACUGUAUAACAGCUUGGGCAACAGAGUGAGACUCUGUCUCAAAGGAAAAAAAAAAGGUUUAUAUUUACAUUUUUUUCUGGGUGACUGUGCCUGUGUUAGGUUUAUGCCUGAGAAAGAAGGGUCUAUAGUCUUAAUAAUUUUACAGAGAACAUAUCCUGCAAAUGGUAAGAGAUCCAUAUGAAUGCAUUAAUGAGUAAAUUAAAACAUCUGAAAAUGUAACAACAGCAAAAUUUUAAGAUGGCUUUUGGAGAGAGUUAAACAUUUUGGUCUAAUUUGUAGGCAGUUACAUGAAAUAUCCUUGUUUUUUUGAGAUGGAGUCUCGCUCUGUUGCCCAGGCUGGAGUGCAGUGAUGUGAUCUCAGCUCACUGUAAUCUCUGUGUUUCAGGUUCAGGCAGUUCUCCUGUCUCAGCUUCCUGAGUUGCUGGGAUUAUAGGCAUGUGAUCCCUGUAAGUCCCCUGCAAAAAAAAAAAAAAAAAAAAUCAGAGAGAAAAGUGACCUUGCAUUAUUUCUAUUACAAAAGUAAUUCCAGAUAUGUUAUAGAAAAUUUAGAAAAUACAGGGGCCAGGCACAGUGGCUCAUGCCUAUAAUCCAAGCAUUUUGGGGGGGCCAAUGCAGGAGGAUUGCCUGAGGCCAGGAGUUUUGAGACCAGCCUAAGCAAUAUAGCAAAACCCUUACUCUACAAAAAAAAAAAAAAAAGAGGUGCAGUGUUGCAUGCAUGUAGUCCCAGGUACUUGGGAGGCUGAGGUGGGAGGGUUGCUUAUUUCCAGGAGUUUGAGGUUACAGUGAGCUAUGAUUGGGCCACUGCAUUCCAGCCUGGGCAACAGAGAGAGGGAGCCUGUCUUAAAAGCACACACACGUACACACACACACACACCCACUCACCCACCCACCUACCCAGAAAAGAUUUAGAAAGUGUAGCUAAAUACAAAGCUGAAAUAAGUCACUUGUUAUCCUGAUAUAAUCUUUUUUAAACUUUUUUCUGUGUAUAAAAAUGAGAUUAAUAUAUAGGUAUGUGUAUAUAUGCACACAUAUAUACCCAUAUGGAUAUGUAUACAUGUAUAUGUAUGUGUAUAUAUGUAUAUACACACGUAUAUGUAUGUGUGUAUACAUUCACAUGUGUAUGUAUAUACACACGUGUAUAUAUGUAAAUUAUUAUAUAUUAUGGCUUUGUAGCCUGUUUAAUUCACUUAACAGUAAGUCUAACAUGGGAAAUACUGAAAUAUUGGUGAUUAGGAAUCCUGCCAGAAAGUUUCCUGUGUAUUUAAUAUAAUCUUAUUUAUCAAAUGGCCAGCUGGAUGUAGUGACUAGAUUUUUCUGUAUAUGAAAUAGACAUUAUUGGAAAAAUUGGUUUGUCCAUAUCAUUUAUCUAAAAUCACAUUAUUAGUAUUAAUAAUACCUAUUACGCAUAUACGAUAGUCUACUUACCCACCUGUAUGGUAUUUUAAACUUCUUAGUAGUUUAUCAACCAUUUUUUAAACUUUUACUUUAAAAUUAACAAUAUUAUUAUAAAUAUGAUGUAAACUGAAUCAGAAUUUUAAAAGUAUUUUCUAGUUUAUGAGAAGAAAGAGUUAAAAAUGGAAUGGAAAUGUGCUCUUUAGAGAACAUAUUUACUAUCUAAAAUUCUGUGAUGGACAGCAUUGACAUUUGAAUGAAAACAAAAACAAAUAGACAUUGAAUUGUGAAACAAAUAGAACACUUAGUUUAUAGGUUAGGAAUUUUUGGGCAAGCAUGGAGAUUGGAAUGCAAGGAUAUGGAGUGAGGAGUAGUUUUGUUAACAGGGAAACAGUUGAAAGGAAAGGCGGUCUCCUUUGUAAUUAAUCUGACACUUCUUGGGGGACUUGUCACUGCAGUUUGGUCACUAACAGAACAGAGGCUGCCCAUUAAUUAACUGGGGGGUUUGCUACCAGGAGGUGUCCACAAUACUGGAAAUCUGCUCUUACUAUUAGUGGCAGAUAGUGCAGGAUUUAGGGAAUUCUGGAUCAGGAUAUCAGCAUGAGAGCUCCUUAGCAUAGUUCUACCAUUCCAUGGUGGAAGUGUUUGCAGUCUGCCCCAGUUGGGUAUAGAAAUCUUUGGGCCCCUUGGUGUUACUUGAAGCCAGAAGGAGCUCAGAUCUGCAGAUGCAUCCUAUUCCCAUAUUUCCCCUGCAAAGGAUUUUCAUCAUUCCUUUUUUUAUAGAUGAGGAAACUGGCUCAGAGAGAUGUUCAUUGGUUUGAGAAUGCUCCCAGAAAUUCUGCUUCAUUCUUUCUGGGUCAGCCUUUGAAGGGACUUAAUUUUAAUUAAUUAAUUAAUUAAUUAAUUUAUUUAGAGAAUGAGGUCUCGCUAUAUUGCUCAGGCAGGUCUUGAACUCCUGGGCUCAAGCUGUCCUCCCGAGUCUGCCUCCCUAAGAGCUGGGAUUACAGGGGUGAGCCACAGCGCCCUGCUGGGUCUUAAUUUUUAUUAAGCACAGUAGCUGAUUCUAUUCUGUUUGGCUCUUGAACCACAGUUUGAGACACACAGGUAGAAUUCUUGACUCUUGGUUGGUCAUUGUGAGUUUUUACUUCUAUUUUAUUUUUUUCUCCAGAAAUAUGCUUACUCAUUAUGUGUUUUGAUUCAUCUUGUCUAAGUAUCCUGGUCAGUCUCUCAUUCUUCCGAGGCCUCAGAUGACUCUCCAAUAUAAUAUUUGAAGAUAGAAGUCAUAAUAAUUUCAUGAUUACUUUUUGUACUCUACAUAAACAGUUUUUUUAAAAAGUGUGUUUGUGUUUAGUGGGAAAAAAACCUCUCAUUAAAAAUCCUCCCACUAAACACAAACACUCAUUUUCAAAAAUCUAUUAAGUUUUAUUAAGAAAUUUUAUAUAUAUAUAUAUAUAUUUUAAGAUGUAGUCUUGCUCUGUCACCCAGGCUGAAGUGCAGUGGCAUCAUCUCGGCUCACUGCAACCUCUGCCUCCCAGGUUCAAAUGAUUCUCCUGCCUUAGCCUCCUGAGUAGCUAGGACUACAGGUGUAUAUCACUAUGCCUGGCUAAUGGGGUUUCACCAUGUUGGCCAGGCUCAUCUCAAACUCCUGACCUCGUGGUCCACCUGCCUCAGCCUCCCAAAGUGCUGGGAUUACAGACGUGAGCUACUGUGCCCAGCCAGAAAUUAUACUUUUAUUAGUCUCAGCAUGGUGGCUCAUGCCUGUAGUCCCACACUUUUGGAGGCUGAGUUAGGUGGAUCACUUGAGCCAGGAUUUUGAGACCAGCUUGGGCAACAUCAUGAAACCUUGUCUCUAUAAAAAAUAAUUAGCCAGAUGUGGUGGUGCAUGCCUGUAGUCCCCACUUACUUGGGAGGCUGAUGUAGGAGGAUUGCUUGAGCCUGGGUGGUCGAGGCUGUAGUGAGUUGUAAUUGUGCAAGUGCGCUACAGCCCAGGUGACACAGCAAGACGCUAUCUCAAAGAAAAAAUUAAACGUUUAUUAAAAAUAGUUACUAUUGAUUGGUAAAUGAUUGCAAUCUAUUAAUAUUUCUCACACAGCAAUUUUUAUUUAAUGAAAUUAUGUCAAUAACUACAAAAUAAUUUAGUAUGCAUUAUUAUUUCUGUCUUAUAGAACAAAGUCCUGUAUUCUAUAUUUUUAAAGCCUUUUUUAAUUAUAAAAAUACUUGGUUAUUAUAGAAAAAAUUUGAACAUACAGAGAUGACAAAAGAAAGUAUUCAUAAUUUGACACCCCAGAAUAAUCACUGAAAUGUGGCAGUGUUUACUCAGUUGUUUUCAACCUAAAUACAAUAUUAUUUCCAAAGAUUUUAUUUUAUUUCUCUUUCUUUUUUUUCCUUUUUUUUUUUGUUUUUGAGGUAGUCUUGCUCUGUUGCCCAGGCUGCUGUGCAGUGGCACGAUCUCAGCUCACUGCAACCUCUGAUUCCCUGGUUUAUGUGAUUGUCCUGCCUCAGCUUUUUGAGUAGAUGGGACUACAGGUGGUCACCACCACGCCUGGCUAAUUUUUGUAUUUUUAGUAGAGAGGGAGUUUUCCCAUGUUAGCCAGACUGGUCUUGAACUCCUGACUUCAAGCAAUUCACCCACCUCGGCCUCCAAAGUGCUGGGAUUAUAGAUGUGAGCCACCAUGCCCAGCCAGACCUAGUUUUAAUGGCAAAUAGUUAUUAAAGACAGAGUUCAUACUUACUAUAUGUCUUUCAGAAGGGUGUCUACUUGGAUCUCUAAUGACAGAUUGUGAAAUAACCGGUAGCAGUAACUAACACUGGCUGGUGAGAACUUAGUAAAAUUCUGUGCAUCCUAAAAUAAGUCUCUAUUUAAACAGUGGAGGUAUACAGAGCCAUUUGUUAAUGUAUUAUGUGGGCAUGAAGGGAUGAUAUUUGGAAAGAGGUGCUAACUGCAUGUAGACUUGUGAGAAUUUUUGCUAGUUUUUUCACUUUUUGAAUGAGGAGAUUGGGCCAGUUGAGCUCUUGUUUGUUUAGUACUUUGGGAAAGGGUGAAAAGAGUUUACUUUUAGCAAAUAUAUGUUUAAUAUGUGUUAUUCGAUUUAAUGCUUAACCACUUCAUAUAAGGUAAGUGUUUUAUCCUCUUUUUUUUUUUGAGACGGGGUUUUGCCUUUGUUGCCCAGGCUGGAGAGCAGUGGUGCAAUCUCGGCUCACUGCAACCUCUGCCUCCCGCGUUCAAGUGAUCCUCCUGCCUCAGCCUCCCGAGUAGCUGGGAUUACAGGCAUGUAAUGUCUGGCUAAUUUUGUAUUUUUAGUAGAGAUGGGGUUUCUCCAUGUUCAUCAAGCUGGUCUCAAACUUCUGAUCUCAGGUGAGCUGCCUGCCUCGGUCUCCCAAAGUGCUAUCCUCAUUUUUAAAAGUUUAAUUUAAUUUAAUUUGAUUGUAAGUUUCGAGGUACAUGUGCAAGAUGUGCAGGUUUGUUACAUAGGUAAAUGUGUGCCAUGGUGGUUUCCGGCACCUGUCAACUGAUCGCCUAAGUAUUAAGCCUAGCUUGCAUUAGCUAUUCUUCCUAAUGCUCUCCCCCCCGCACCCCCGCAACCCCCUGACAGGCCAGUGUGUGGUGUUCCCCUCCCUUUGUCUGUGUGUUCUCAUUGUUCAGCUCCCACCUGUAAGUGAGAACACCCAGUGUUUGGUUUUCUGUUCCUGCAUUAGUUUACUGAGGAUAAUGGCUUCUAGCUUCAUCCAUGUCCUGGCAAAAGACGUGAUCUCAUUCCUUCUUAUCCUCAUUUUUAUAGAUGAGGAAACUUUAGGUCACAUACCUAGGUAUUUCUGGCUUUGUUUUCAUUUCUUUCCCUUACAUUUACUGUGUUCUGAUUUCUAAUACUCUUUCCGACUCUAAAGUUGUGAUUCUAUGACAGUGGAAAGAACAGUGUAAUAAACUCCAUUUACCUGUUACUGAACUGCAAAAUUGUUAUCCUAUGGUCGACUUGUUUCAUCUGUGUCCCUUUAUAGUUGUCUCCCAACAUUAUUUUCUCCCACCACAUUAUUUUGACACACGUGUCACCAUAUCCUUUCUUCCUCUUCUUCUUCCCUUCCUUUGUUCCCUUUCCCUUUCCCUUCUUUUCUUGAUGGAGUUUUGCUCUUUUUGCCCAGGCUAGAGUGCAGUGGUACAGUCUUGGUUCACUGUAACCUCUGCUUCUUGAGUUUGAGCGAUUCUCCUGCCUCAGCCUCCCAAGUAGUUGGGAUUAUAGGCAUGCGCCACCACACCUGGCUAAUUUUGUAUUUUUAGUAGAGAUAGGGUUUCAUCAUGUUGGCCAGGCUCGUCUCAAACUCCUGACCUCAGGUUAUCCACACACCUUGGCUUUGCAAAGUGUUGGGAUUAUGGGUGUGAGCCACCAUGCUCGGCCUCCCCGUAUUAUUUCAUCUCUAGACAUUUCAGUAUAUAGCUCUAAAAGAUAGAAACUUCAACACCUGUGAAAAGAAAGGAAUAAAAAUAAAAACAUAAACUAUUUUGUAAAAAUUUUAAACAUAACCACAAUACUAUUAUCACUGUAAGAACAACAACAUUAAUUCCUUCCUGCUUACUCAGUGAUUGUCAUAAUUUAUUUUUAAACUGACUGUUUGAGAUUCAUGUAAGGCCCAUACAUUUUAAUUAGUUGGUAUGUCUGUUAAGUUCUUUAAUCUACACAUUUCACCUCUAUCUCACUUUCUCAUUUCCCUGCAUUAAAAAAAAAAGUGUGAAAAAGAAAAAAACAAAACAAAAAAAAUGUGCGUGUGUAUUUCUGUGUGUGUAUGUAUAAAGAAACUGGAUCUUUUCACUUCUAAAUGUCCUCAUACCGUGGAGAUUGUGAUGGUGUUCAAUGUUUUUCUGUCUCAUGUAUUUUCUACAAUUUGGUAAUUUGAUUUAGAGUAUUACUGUCUAAUAUAAUGUAAUCCAUAAAGUUAAGCCAUAUAUCAUUUGAAUUUUUCCAUAUAUACUUUUUUAUUUAUUUUUUAAAAUUUUUUAUUGCAUUUUAGGUUUUGGGGUACAUGUGCAGAACAUGCAAGACAGUUACAUAGGUACACACAUGGCAGUGUGUUUUGCUUCCUUUCUCCCCUUCACCCACAUUUGGCAUUUCUCCCUAGGCUAUCCCUCCCCAGCUCCCCCACUCCCUGCUGGUCCUCCCCUUUUCCCCCCAAUAGACCCCAGUGUUUAGUACUCCCCUCCCUGUGUCCAUGUGUUCUCAUUUUUCAUCACCCGCCUAUGAGUGAGAAUAUGCGGUAUUUCAUUUUCUGUUCUUGUGUCAGUUUGCUGAGAAUGAUGUUCUCCAGAUUCAUCCAUGUCCCUACAAACGACACAAACUCAUCAUUUCUGAUUGCUGCAUAAUAUUCCAUGGUGUAUAUGUGCCACAUUUUCCCAAUCCAGUCUAUCAUCAAUGGGCAUUUGGGUUUGUUCCAGGUCUUUGCUAUUGUAAACAGUGCUGCAAUGAACAUUUGUGUGCAUGUGUCCUUAUAGUAGAACAAUUUAUAGUCCUUUGGAUAUAUACCCAGUAAUGGGAUUGCUGGGUCAAAUGGAAUUUCUAUUUCUAAGGCCUUGAGGAAUCGCCACACUGUCUUCCACAAUGAUUGAACUAAUUUACACUCCCCCCAACAGUGUAAAAGUGUUCCUUUUUCUCCACAUCCUCUCCAGCAUCUGUUGUCUCCAGAUUUUUUAAUGAUUGCCAUUCUAACUGGCAUGAAAUAGUAUCUCAAUGUGGUUUUGAUUUGCAUCUCUCUAAUGACCAGUGAUGAUGAGCAUUUUUUCAUAUGAUUGUUGGCCUCAUACAUGUCUUCUUUUGUAAAGUGUCUGUUCAUAUCCUUUGCCCAUUUUUGAAUGGGCUUGUUUUUUUCCUGUAAAUCUGUUUGAGUUCUUUGUAAAUUCUGGAUGUCAGCCCUUUGUCAGAUGGGUAAACUGCAAACAUUUUUUCCCAUUCUGUUGGUUGCUGAUUCACUCUAGUGACUGUUUCUUUUGCCAUGCAGAAGCUGUGGAGUUUGAUUAGGUCCCAUUUGUCUAUUUUGGCUUUCGUUGCCAGUGCUUUUGGUGUUUUGGUCAUGAAGUCCUUGCCUACUUCUAUGUCCUGAAUGGUUUUUGCCUAGAUUUUCUUCUAGGGUUUUUAUGGCGCCAGGUCUUAUGUUUAAGUCUUUAAUCCAUCUGGAGUUAAUUUUAGUGUAAGGUGUCAGGAAGGGGUCCAGUUUCUGCUUUCUGCACAUGGCUAGCGAGUUUUCCCAACACCAUUUAUUGAACAGGGAAUCCUUUCCCCAUUGCUUGUUUUUGUCAGGUUUAUCAAAGAUUGUAUGGUUGUAGAUAUGUUGUGUUGCCUCCGAUGCCUCUGUUUUGUUCCAUUGGUCUAUAUCUCUGUUUUGGUACCAUACCAUGCUGUUUUGAUUACUGUAGCCUUGUAGUAUAGUUAGAAAUCCGGUAGUGUGAUGCCCCCCGCUGUGUUCUUUUUGCUUAGAAUUGACUUGGCUAUGCGGGCUCUCUUUUGGUUCCAUAUGAAGUUCAUGGUGGUUUUUUCCAGUUCUGUGAAGAAAGUCAAUGGUAGCUUGAUGGGGAUAGCACUGAUUCUGUAAAUUACUUUGGGCAGUAUAGCCAUUUUCACGAUAUUAAUUCUUCCUAACCAUGAACAUGGAAUGUUUCUCCAUCUGUUUGUGUCCUCUCUUAUUUCGUUGAGCAGUGGUUUGUAGUUUUCCUUGAAGAGAUCCUUUACGUUCCUUGUGAGUUGUAUUCCAAGGUAUUUUAUUCUUUUUGUAGCAAUUGUGAAUGGCAGUUCAUUCUUGAUUUGGCUUUCUUUAAGUCUGUUAUUUGUGUAGAGGAAUGCUUGUGAUUUUUGCACAUUGAUUUUAUAUCCUGAGACUUUGCUGAAGUUGCUUAUCAGUUUUAGGAGUUUUGGGCUGAGGCGAUGGGGUCUUCUAGAUAUACUAUCAUGUCGUCUGCAAAUAGAGGCAAUUUGGCUUCCACCUUUCCUAUUUGAAUACCUUUGUUUCUUUUUCUUGCCUGAUUGCUCUGGCUAGAACUUUCAGUACUGUAUUGAAUAGGAGUGGUGAGAGAGGGCAUCCUUGUCUAGUGCCGGAUUUCAAAGGGAAUGCUUCCAGUUUUUGCCCAUUUAGUAUGAUAUUGGCUGUUGGUUUGUCAUAAAUAGCUUUUAUUACUUUGAGAUAUGUUCAUCAAUACCUAGUUUAUUGAGGGUUUUUAGCAUAAAGGGCUGUUGAAUUUUGUCAAAUGCCUUCUCUGUGUCAAUUGAGAUAAUCAUGUGGUUUUUGUUUUUGGUUCUGUUUAUGUGGUGAAUUACGUUUAUAGACUUGCGUAUGUUGAACCAGCCUUGCAUCCCCGGGAUGAAUCCUACUUGAUCAUGAUGGAUAAAUUUUUUGAUUUGCUGUUGCAAUCGGCUUGCCAAUAUUUUAUUGAAGAUUUUUGCAUCUAUGUUCAUCAUGGAUAUUGGCCUGAAGUUUUCCUUUUUUGUUGGGUCUCUGCCGGGUUUUGGUAUCAGGAUGAUGUUGGUCUCAUAAAAUGAUUUGGGAAGGAUUCCCUCUUUUUGGAUUAUUUGGAAUAGUUUCAGAAGGAAUAGUACUAGCUCCUCUUUGUGUGUCUGGUAGAAUUUGUCUGUGAACCCAUCUGGACCUGGGCUUUUUUUGUGUGGUAGGCUCUUAAUUGCUGCCUCAACUUCAGACCUUGUUAUUGGUCUAUUCAUAGUUUCAGCUUCCUCCUGGUUUAGGCUUGGGAGGACACAGGAGUCCAGGAAUUUAUCCAUUUCUUCCAGGUUUACUAGUUGAUGUGCAUAGAGUUGUUUGUAAUAUUCUCUGAUGAUGGUUUGAAUUUCUGUGGAAUCUGUGGUGAUUUCCCGUUUAUCAUUUUGUAUUGCAUCUAUUUGGUUGUUCUCUCUUUUCUUUUUAAUCAAUCUGGCUAGUGGUCUGUCUAUUUUGUUGAUCUUUUCAAAAAACCAGCUCUUGGAUUUAUUGAUUUUUUUGAAGGGUUUUUCGUGUCUUUAUCUCCUUCAGUUCAGCUCUGAUCUUAGUUAUUUCUUGUCUUGUGCUGGGUUUUGAGUUUUUUUGAUCUUGCUCCUCUAGCUCUUUCAAUUUUGACGAUAGGGUGUCAAUUUUGGAUCUCUCCAUUCUCCUCAUAUGGGCACUUAUUGCUAUAUAUUUUCCUCUAGAGACUGUGUUAAAUGUGUCCCAGAGAUUCUGGCAUGUUGUGUCUUCGUUCUCAUUGGUUUCAAAGAACUUCUUUAUUUCUGCCUUUAUUUCAUUGUUUAUCCAGUCAACAUUCAAGAGCCAGUUGUUCAGUUUCCAUGAAGCUGUGUGGUUCUGGGUUGGUUUCUGAAUUCUGAGUUCUAACUUGAUUGCACUAUGGUCUGAGAGACUGUUUGUUAUGAUUUCAGUUGUUUUGCAUUUGCUGAGGAGUGCUUUACUUCCAAUUAUGUGGUCAAUUUUAGAGUAGGUGUGAUGUGGUGCUGGGAAGAAUGUAUAUUCUGUGGAUUUGGGGUGGAGAGUUCUGUAAAUGUCCACCAGGUUUGCUUGUUCCAGGUCUGAGUUCAAGCCCUGGAUAUCCUUGUUGAUUUUCUGUCUGGUUGAUCUGUCUAUUAUUGACAGUGGAGUGUUAAAGUCUCCCACUAUUAUUGUGUGGGAGUCUAAGUCUCUUUGUAAGUCAUUAAGAACUUGCCUUAUGUAUCUGGGUGCUCCUGUAUUGGGUCCAUAUAUGUUUAGGAUCGUUAGCUCUUCUUGUUGUAUCGAUCCUUUUAUCAUUAUGUAAUGGCCUUCUUUGUCUCUUUUGAUCUUUGUUGCUUUAAAGUCUAUUUUAUCAGAGAUGAGGAUUGCAACUCCAGCUCUUUUUUGCUCUCCAUUUGCUUGGUAAAUCAUCCUCCAUCCCUUUAUUUUGAGCCUUUGUGUAUCCUUGCAUGUGAGAUGGGUUUCCUGGAUACAGCACACUGAUGGGUUUUGGUUUUUUAUCCAAUUUGCCAGUCUGUGUCUUUUGAUUGGUGCAUUUAGUCCAUUUAUAUUUAGGGUUAAUAUAGUUAUGUGUGAAUUUGAUACUGCCAUUUUGAUGCUAGCUGGCUGUUUUGCCCGUUAGUUGAUUCUUCAUUAUGUUGAUGCUCCUUAGCAUUUAGUGUGAUUUUGGAAUGGGUGGUACUGGUUGUUCCUUUCUAUGUGUAGUGCCUCUUUCAGGAGCUCUUGUAAAGCAGGCCUGGUGGUGACAAAAUCUCUGAGUACUUGCUUGUUCGCAAAGGAUUUUAUUUUUCCUUCACUUCUGAAGCUCAGUUUGGCUGAAUAUGAAAUUCUGGGUUGAAAGUUCUUUUCUUUAAGGAUGUUGAAUAUUGGCCCCCACUCUCUUCUGGCUUGUAGAGUUUCUGCCGAGAGAUCUGCUGUGAGUCUGAUGGGCUUCCCUUUAUUGGUGACCCAACCUUUCUCUCUGGCUUUUCUUUGUAUUUUCUCCUUCAUUUUAACCCUGGUGAAUCUGAUGAUUAUGUGCCUUGGGGUUGCUCUUCUUGCGGAAUAUCUUUGUGGUGUUCUCUGUAUUUCCUGCAUUUGAGUGUUGGCCUGCCUUGCUAGGUGGGGGAAAUUUUCCUGGCUAAUAUCCUGAAGAGUAUUUUUCAGCUUGGAUUCAUUCUCUUCGUCACAUUCUGGUACACCUAUCAAAUGUAGGUUAGGUCUUUUCACAUAGUCCCACAUUUCUUGGAGACUUUGUUCAUUCCUUUUUGCGCUUUUUUCUCUGAUCUUGGUUUCUCGUUUUAUUUCAUUGAGUUGAUCUUCAACUUCUGAUAUUCCUUCUUCUGCUUGGUCAAUUCGGCUGUUGAAACUUGUGCAUGCUUCGUGAAGUUCUUGUAUUGUGUUUUUCAGCUCCUUCAAUUCAUUCAUAUUCCUCUCUAAGUUAUCCAUUCUUGUUAUCAUUUCCUCGAAUCUUUUUUCAAGGUUCUUAGUUUCUUUGCAUUGAUUUAAAACAUGUUCUUUUAGCUCACAAAAGUUUCUCAUUAUCCACCUUCUGAAGUCUAAUUCCGUCAUUUCGUCACAGUCAUUCUCCGUCCAGCUUUGCUCCCUUGCUGGUGAGGAGUUUUGGUCCUUUCUAGGAGGCGAGGUGUUCUGGUUUCAGGUGUUUUCCUCCUUUUUUCGCUGGUUUCUUCCCAUCUUUGUGGGUUUAUCCGCUUGUCGUCUGCAUUGCUGACCUUUCGAUUGGGUCUCUGAGUGGACACCCAGAUUGUUGAUGAUGAAAUAUUUCUGUUACUUGGUUUUCCUUCUACCAGCCUAGCCCCUUCGCUGUACAACUGCUGAGGUCCACUCCAGGCCCUGCUUGUCUGGGGUGCACCUGUAGCGGCUGCAGAACAGUGAGGGAUGCUACCAGUUUCUUUUUCUGCUAUCUUUGUCCCAUAAUGAUGCCUGCCAAAUGUCAGUCUUCUGGAUAUAGAGGGUCAGGGAGCUGCUUGAGGAGACAGUCUGUACUUUAUCGGAGCUCAAGUGCUGAUCUGUGAGCUCUGUUGUUCAUUCAGGGCUGUUAGGCUGCUACAUUUAAUGCUGCUGCAGCAGAACUCAUUAAAAAAACCCCUUUUUUUCUCAGAUGCUCUGUCUCGGGGGUUGGGGUUUUCUUUAUGUGUUUGUUGCGCUGUCCUGCCCAGCUAGGAGGCAGUCUAGUCACUAUUUGCCUGCCGAGGCUCCGCCCUGCUGGUGUGAGGUCCGCCCUGUUGCUGCAGGCUCUGCCCUGCUGGUGCGGUCUCUUCCCUGCUGCCAUGGGCUACGCCCUGCGGCAGAGUCUCUCUGUUGUGGCGGGUUGCCUCGGUAAUGGCAAACGCCCCUCCGCCACCGAGCUGCACUGUCCUGGGUUCAGCUGUACCCACAGUGAAACUCUCCACCUGGAGCGUUUGGAAUUGCCGUUUUGUUUGUCCCAGUGCCCUGGCCCAAAUGCCGUUUCCCUGGAAUCUCCUGUCCUGGCUCACUGUCCAAGUCCUGUUCAAUCAGAUGGAUAUGCCAAUCUGCCCUCUCAAGUCUCAGAUUGCCGGUUCAACAGGGCACCCGGACCAGUGCACUUUGUGUGGAGUGCUGUGGAGCGUCGCUGGCUGCACCAGCCAAAACCGCUUUGCUGGCAUCCCACGUCUCUUUUAUACCUGGGAAUUUCCCCGUUCUGUGGGCAACAAAGAUCCGUCUGGAAAUGCGGCCCUGACUCACCCUCCGCGCAUUCACCAAGAGCUUCAAUCCUGGGUUGUUCUCACCGUGCCAUCUUAUAUACUUUUUUAAAAAGUGAAAAGAAACAGGUAAAAUUGGUUUGAACAAUAUUUUUAUUUGACCUAAUAUAUCCAAAAUGUUAUUAUUUCAACAUAUAAUCAAUGAAAUUAAUGAGAUAUAUUGCUUUUUUUUUUGGUAUAAAUCUUGGAAAUUUGGUGUGCAUCUUAUACUUACACCACAUCUUGGUAUUAGCCACAUUUCAAAUAUCCAGUAGCAGUAUGUGGCUAGUAACUCCUGUAUUGAACAGCAUAAUAAAUAAUAACUAUGUUGUAUUUAUAUAGUUAAAUAAUAACUACUAUGACAGUUAACUGGUAUAACUUUUUUUUUAUUUUUGAGUCAGGGUCUCGCUUUGUGAUCCAGGCUGCAGUACAGUAGCAUGAUCUUGGCUCAUUGCACCUUCUGCCUCCCAGGCACAGGUGAUCUUCCCACCUCAGCCUCCUGAGUAGCUGGGGGCUAUAGGUGUGUGUAAUCAUGCCUAGCUAAUUAAAAAAAAUUUUUUUUUGUAAAGACGGAGUCUCACUAUGUUGCCCAGGCUGGUCUUGAAAUUCUGAGCUCAAGCAAUUCGCCCACCUAGGCCUCCUAAAGUGCUGGGUUUACAGGUGUGAGCCACCACACCUGGCCCAGGAUAACAUAUUUUAAAGAAUCCAUUAGUGUGCCUGGUACAUUGUAGAUACACUGUAGAUUCUGUUCUUUUCCUGUCCUCCCAGAUUGCAGUUUUUUCUGCCAUAUUGUUGCCUCUUUUUUUUUUUUUUUUUUUGAUGGAAUAUUCCUUUAUCACCCAGGCUAGAGUAGGGUGGUAAGAUCUAACCUCUGCCUGCCAGGUUCAAGCAGUUUUCCUGCCUCAGCCUGCUGAGCAGCUGGGAUUACAGGCACGUGCCACCACACUCAGCUAGUUUUUGUAUUUUUAGUAGAGAUGGGGAUUCCUUGUGUUGGCCAGGUUGAUCUCAAACUCCUGACCUCAAGUCAUCUGCCCACCUCGGCCUUCCAAAGUGCUGGGAUUAUUAUAGGCGUGAGCCACCGCACCUGGCUUCUUCCACUAAGUAUACCUAAAUUAUCUGAAAAUAAUAUGCUUUUCUUACAUUUGUUACUUUGUUUAUAGUACUUGCUUAGCAAACUUUUUUUCCUUAAUAGACUAAAAAGUUUGUUCCUUUUCCGAGUUUUUCUGGAUGACAGUUACUGAAGUUUAAAUUUAGAAGAUUUAGCCAGGCUCUGUGUCUCAUACCUGCAAUCCUAGCACUUUGGGAGUCUGAGGUGGGCUGAUCACUUGAGGCCAGGAGCUCGAGACCAGCCUGGCCAACAUGGGGAAACCCCUUCUCUACUAAAAAACAAACAUUAGCCUGGUGUGGUGGCAGGUGCCUGUAAUUAUAGUUACUUGGGUGGCUGAGGUACAAGGAUUCCUUUAACCCGGGGGGUGGAGGUUGCAGUGAGCUGAGAUCAUGCCAUUGCACUCCAGCCUGGGUAAUAGAGUGAGACUGUGUCUUUAAAAAAACUAAAAUAAAAUAAAUUGAGAAGAUGUUACUUUUCAUUUUGAAGUACUUCAUCCAAAGUAACUUUUGUUAUUAAUUCCAAUUUAUUGUAAUUAUUAAGUAUUAAUCACAAACAGUUCUUAAUCAUAUUUUGUGUGUUAGCAGGCUACAGUAUAAUUAUUUUCAUGCUUGUAUUUGGCUACGGUAAACAGGAUAGUUUGGAAAGGCCAUAAUUAAUAGGUGUUCAAAAGUUGCUUUGAUGUCCUUAGAUGAAAGCUAUGCUUCCAACACCAAAUGCUAGUAUUUUUAAUUAUCAUUCUCCUUUUUAAUUUGAAAUAAUAGCUUGAGUACUGUAGUACUCGCUACAGGAUUGUUUGCCUGUAAUGUUUCAUGUGAAUGUGCAGAGAACAUUUUAGAAAGUUUUUUUUUGAGAGAGGAUCUUGCUCUGUCACCCAGGCUGUAGUGCAGUGGCAUGAUAACGAUUCAAUGCAACCUUUUCUUCCUGGGUUCAAGCAAUUCUCAUGCCUCAGUCUCCCAAGUAGGUGGGACUACAGGCAUGCGCUGCCACACUGGCUAAUUUUUGUAUUUUUAGUAGAGAUGGAGUUUUGCCUGAUACUGAACAUAAUUGGGAGAUAAUUUGAAAAAAAAAAAGAGAGAAAUGGAGUUUCACCAUGUUGGUCAGGCUGGUCUUGAACUCCUGGCCUCAAGUGAUCCACCCUCUUGGGACUUGCAAAGUGCUGAGAUUACAGACAUGAGCCACCACACCAGGCCAGAAAUUAUUAAUAUUUAUCUAUCAAAAAAUGCACUUUUAGAUUCAGAUUGUUUCCUAUUUGAAUACAGUUGCAGAAGCAUCUUGUCAGAUACUUUCCCAUGGCAUUAAUAGGUAGCUAGCUUUCUUUGUUGUAAGGUAUAGAAAUAUGAUUGCUAAUGCCUGAGGUUGUGUUUCCUAAGGUGAAUGAAUUUUUUUGAGGUUUUGUAGACUUCAAAUUGGGAGAUCCAUAAGGUGAUGAAAUAGAAAGUUAAACUAUUUUCAUUUUUUUUGAGUAGUUUUCACUUGCUUUCUCCAUUUUCUUGUACCUCAUCUUGUCUGUAACUACUUGUAAAUGCAACUUUUACCUGCAGCCCCUGAAAAGUAAUUGCUCAUAGGUUCCUGAUUUCUUAUAAUAACCAAAUCAAUUAAUUGGCAUUUUUUUUUCUGUUCUCAUUGUGCUUAUUCAUUAGAUAGAAUCGGAUUCUGUUAAUCUUCAUGAAGGAUCUCAUCUCUUUGCUUCCCUUAUACUGUAUUUUCUCUUUAUCUCUUGAGCAGUACCUCUUUUCCCUUCCUUACUGGCUCAAAUUCUUACUUCUAUGCCCAACUACCUGUAUCUCAGGAUCAACUUUUUCUAACAUUUCUAUUGUCAUUAUCAGUCAAUUCACAUUCGGAUGGCUCUUAUUCAGUUUUUUUGUCUUUACCACCAUAAUUAAAUGAUUCUGAAAUCUGUUUUGUUCCUUGAUCUGUUUUCCUGCACCUCUUAGUCUUACUAAUGAGAAUCUUCACCUGGUUGCCUUGUUGUCUCCUUUAACUUCUGGUGUGUCCAAAAUCAAAGUCUUCAUCUUAGAACAAACUUCAUGGCCUUCCUUGAUUUUGUUAUUGGUACUGGUAUUAUUAUUCAUGUAGCCCCAUUUUAAUGAUCAUUGACUCUCUUAUCCCUGUUCAGUUUAUUUAGGCACACAGUUCCUGUUCUAACUUUGAUUAACAGUUUGGGCUGGGCGUGAUGGCUCACGCUUGUAAUCCAGCACUUUGGGAGACUGAGGAGGAUGGAUUGCUUGAGCCCAGGAGUUUGAGAUCAGCCUGGGCAACAUGGUGAAACCGUGUCUCUACUAAAAAUAAAAAUUAGCUGGUGGCUCAUGCUUGUAAUUCCAGCACUUUGGGAGGCUGAGGUGGGUGGAUUAUGAGGUCAGGAGAUCAAGACCAUCCUGGCGAACGUGGUGAAACCCUAUCUCUACUUUAAAAAAAAAUACAAAAAUAUUAGCUGGGCAUGGUGGCACGUGUCUGUAGUCCCAGCUGCUUGGGAGGCUGAGAUAGGAGAAUUAAUUGCUUGAACCUGGGUGCAGUGAGCCGAGAUUGUACCAGUGCACUCCAGCCUGGGCAACAGAGCAAGACUGUCUCAAAAAAAAAAAAAAAAUUAACGAGGUGUGGUGUCGAAUGGCUGUGGUCCCAGCUACUCAGGAGGAUGAGGUGGAAGGAGGGCUUGAGCCAGGGAGGCAGAGGUUGCACUAAACUGAGAUGGUGUCACUGUACUCCGGCCUAGGUGAUAGAGCCAGAGCUUAUCUCAAAAUAAAACGAAACACAACAGAACAAAACACCACACACAGUUUGGGAAAUGCUGGUUUUUACAAAAUUGAGGUUGGUUGAUUUGUUAUUUACUUAAUUCAUUUACUGAAUUGGCCUAAGAGCAGGAGGAGGUUCUUAUUUCUUUAAUAGAAGUUUUGUGGUGACUGUGGUUUAAAAGAAGGUGUCAUGGCACUGUGGAAGGCCUUUUAAAGGUGUUGGUGCUUGAGCAUCACCGAGAUGCUGACCUUUUCUGAUAUUACUUCCUGCUAAUUGGAGAGGUACCACUUCAAUCCAGGCACCUGUUUUUACAUUAACGCAGCGGCUUCAGUGUGAGGCAGUUCAUUCCAAAGAGACAUGAAAAAUGUUUGGCAGAGUGGAUACACACAUACAACUCAACUUUUAUGUUUAACUGUGCCCUUAGUUUCCAAGCAUAGUUUCCCCCCUAAUUUAUCAAUAUCAGAACCCUCUGGAAAGUCUUCUAUCGUGAGACCUGUUAUAUCUAAUUAACUUUUUUUAUUCCCCUGCACAUCUGAAACCUGGCAUGCCCAUUUGCUAUCACUGUCCACAGUAGACAUGUUUCUUGGCAAAUUUUAAGGGCAGAGGUUGCUGAAAUUCUUUUUGUGUGCGUCUUAUGAUUGCUAAAUCAGAAACUUUUUAUAUGGAUAAGCUGGCACUUGCAGUACCAGUGCUUAGUGAAAGAAGAAAACAGGGAAGAAGAGGAGGCGAGAACAACCCCUGGACCGACCGAAGCCCACGCGCAGCUGCAUCCCGCGCCCAGCGCCUAUGUCCUGCCGCCGUCGCCACCAUGCCGAAGAGAAAGGCUGAAGGGGAUGCUAACGGAGAUAAAGCCAAGGUGAAGGACGAACCACAGAGAAGAUCUGCGAGGUAGUCUGCUAAACCUGCUCCUCCAAAGCCAGAGCCCAAGCCUAAAAAGGCCCCUGCAAAGAAGGGAGAGAAGGUACCCAAAGGGAAAAAGGGAAAAGCUGAUGCUGGCAAGGAAGGGAAUAACACUGCAGAAGAUGGAGAUGCCAAAACAGACCAGGCACAGAAAGCUGAAGGUGCUGGAGAUGCCAAGUGAAGUGUGUGCAUUUUUGAUAACUGUGUACUUCUGGUGACUGUACAGUUUGAAAUACUAUUUUUUAUCAAGUUUUAUAAAAAUGCAGAAUUUUGUUUUACUUUUUUUUUUUUUUUUAAGCUAUGUUGUUAGCACACAG
Non-coding RNA from Callithrix jacchus (white-tufted-ear marmoset), 22749 nucleotides. NCBI's taxonomy places the organism in Eukaryota, Metazoa, Chordata, Mammalia, Primates, Cebidae. The record is from RefSeq and is a predicted model, not a curated record.